AUUAUAAAUGCAGUUUUAUAAGCAUGUGUCCUUUCUGAGAUGCAUUAUUCAUGUUCCCAAAGCAGCAGCAGCAGCAGCAGCAGCACCCUGCAGAGACACACUGUCUGCAACACACAGAUGGAGGCCAUAUUGCUGGAUGACAGCGAGGUGAUAAAAACUAGUUGCAGGACUUUAUAUUGCAGUGAGCACCCACAAACUGCUUGGAAAACUGAGCAUUUAAC
Long non-coding RNA from Acanthochromis polyacanthus (spiny chromis), 221 nucleotides. RefSeq lists it as uncharacterized. The record is from RefSeq and is a predicted model, not a curated record. The transcript has 2 exons. NCBI's taxonomy places the organism in Eukaryota, Metazoa, Chordata, Actinopteri, Pomacentridae.